Molecule: transfer RNA, 76 nt
Filed under: compost metagenome
Description: tRNA-Val
Rfam family: tRNA
About the family: Transfer RNA (tRNA) molecules are approximately 80 nucleotides in length.
Source: RNAcentral
GAUUGUUUAACUCAGUAGGUAGAGUGCCUUUUUUACAAGAAGGAAGUCACUGGUUCGAGUCCAGUAACAAUCACCA